Clostridium perfringens str. 13 is the source of this 118-nucleotide regulatory RNA element. It matches the Rfam family "PyrR binding site". Rfam says of the family: This family represents the PyrR binding site and terminator structure. This RNA structure is found upstream of a variety of genes involved in pyrimidine biosynthesis and transport. The record is from Rfam. NCBI's taxonomy places the organism in Bacteria, Bacillati, Bacillota, Clostridia, Eubacteriales, Clostridiaceae.
AUAACCUUUAAAUUUGAUCCAGAGAGGUCAAUAAGGAAGUUAUAUAGUUGAAUUAUAAUCGUAAAAGAUUUAUUUAUACGUGAAAAGUCUUCCUUAUCUUAGGAAGACUUUUUUUAAU